UACAGAGGUCCCAAGCGUUGUUCGGAUUUACUGGGCGUAAAGGGUGCUUAGGUGGCGAGGUAAGUCGGAUGUGAAAUCUCCAGGCUCAACCUGGAAAUGGCAUUGGAAACUACCUUGCUAGAGGAUCGGAGGGGGGACUGGAAUACUUGGUGUAGCAGUGAAAUGCGUAGAUAUCAAGUGGAACACCAGUGGCGAAGGCGAGUCCCUGGACGAUUCCUGACGCUGAGGCACGAAAGCUAGGGGAGCAAACAGG
RNAcentral lists this ribosomal RNA (253 nucleotides) under uncultured bacterium. Its description in RNAcentral is "partial 16S ribosomal RNA". It matches the Rfam family "Bacterial small subunit ribosomal RNA", at positions 524 to 776 of the family's 1533-position model. The record is from RNAcentral.